RNAcentral lists this long non-coding RNA (1180 nucleotides) under Homo sapiens (human). Its description in RNAcentral is "non-protein coding lnc-SLC19A1-7:8". The record is from RNAcentral. Lineage: Eukaryota; Metazoa; Chordata; Mammalia; Primates; Hominidae.
GGGCGCCGCAGCGGACCUGCGGCUGCGAGGACGGGGCGGGCCGGGACCCGGGGGCGGCGGGGACGGGCGAGGACGGACGGGGACACGUCCCGCCCCGAGGGAACCGCCCGAGGCUGCGACCCAGCACAGGGCCCGGGGGCUGCCCCGCGAGGAAGCCCAGGUUUAUGCGGAAGGUGAACACCGCUGCCCGCCGGGCUACGACCCCAGCCCCUGAGUCCGGUGGGGCAGCGGGAAGGGGGGAGAUUUGAAUAGAGUCACCGCGGGGGGGACGGGACGGAGGAGGAAGCCGGCACCUCCGGCCCGCAAGGCCCCUGCAGGGUCCUGCCCCGGCUGCACGGAGGGACGGACGCGAGACAGGAGGGGCGUGCGAGGGCCAGAUCUGUCCCCAGGUCCCCCUGUUCCCAGGGCGCGGCCCAGCAGAGCCUCUUCCUCCCCAGUUCCCAGGCUCCUCCUCCCUCCCAGGUGAAAACCCUGUUUCUAUUUCUUCAGGGCCAGCAUCCUGAGCCCCACCUGCAGGCCCUGGGCGCUUUCCUCCUGGCAGCUGUGCCCCCACCCGACCGGACCGCUCCCUGCAACCAGAGAGCCCUCACACCAGCAACACCCCCCAGCCUGCUCCCUCCUCGUGUGCGCGAAACUCAUGGCACUGGCUUGACGGCUUUCUCUGAAACCCUCUGAUUCCGCCUGGCCCAUCCACACUGUCCCUUCCCGGCCAGGGCUCAUCUCCUAUGCCUGGACCAAACAGCGUAGUCUCCAGUCUCCCUGAUCUCCCCACACGUGGCCCCACCCAUCCUCUGAAGCAGCCCCAGGAGGCAGCAGUGACUUCACACUUCUAGUGCCCGGCCCUCCCGGCCCUCCUCUCUGGGCUUGCUUGCCAGGGUCCUCCCAACCUGACUGCUGCCUCCCACCUCCUCUCCGCCCCUGGAGCUCUCCAGCCGCAGCCGCGGGGCCUGCUUGGGAUUCUCCUCUGCUGGCAUCAUCCCUGCCUGCCUCAGCCUUCCCAGGCCCAAUCCUGCCCGAUCUCACCUCUUCCCGCCCAGCCACCUGGUCGGGUCCCGACCAGCAUCUGCCUUCAAACCUGGAGUCCUUCCCUGAGUGCUUGCGGUGCACUGUGAGGAAGGAAAUCAAUGUAAAGGAUUAUGACCCACAUUUUUUAAAAAUAAAAAGAUUAAGGAGAACAGCA